AUGGCACCGAUUUGCCGCAUGGUGUGCUACAACUACACUCCAGGGGAAUAUUUGUUCAGAAUCUUCAGUCUUGUAAUUUUCUACUUGAUGACCUGCUCGCCGCGACCGCCCAAACCCCAGGCCACACUUCCUCUUCCACUCCGCGUACUCCUGGUUGUAGCCCCAGCUCGCCACAGGCAGGGAUCGGCGGCUCGCUGGCGUGGCGCGUGGCAGGGAGAGAAGGGGGGCAAGAUCGGCGAGGCAGAGUUCUUCCGGAAGGACGGCGUGGUGGGCGACAUGGACGGAUACCUCAACUACCUGUCCCUCGAGUAUGACUUCGUCUCGGACACCAAUCCUACUUGGUAA
RNAcentral lists this ribosomal RNA (345 nucleotides) under Triticum aestivum (bread wheat). Its description in RNAcentral is "partial small subunit ribosomal RNA". The record is from RNAcentral. Lineage: Eukaryota; Viridiplantae; Streptophyta; Magnoliopsida; Poales; Poaceae.